Small nuclear RNA from Gorilla gorilla gorilla (western lowland gorilla), 107 nucleotides. NCBI's taxonomy places the organism in Eukaryota, Metazoa, Chordata, Mammalia, Primates, Hominidae. The record is from RefSeq and is a predicted model, not a curated record.
GUGCUUGCCUCAGCAGCGCAAAUACUAAAAUUGGAAUGAUACAGAGAAGAUUCGCGUGUCCCCUGUGCAAGGAUGACAUGCAGAUUCGUGAAACGUUCUGUUUUUUC